Molecule: ribosomal RNA, 181 nt
Filed under: uncultured Pseudomonas sp.
Lineage: Bacteria; Pseudomonadati; Pseudomonadota; Gammaproteobacteria; Pseudomonadales; Pseudomonadaceae
Description: partial 16S ribosomal RNA
Rfam family: Bacterial small subunit ribosomal RNA
Source: RNAcentral
UGGGGAAUAUUGGACAAUGGGCGAAAGCCUGAUCCAGCCAUGCCGCGUGUGUGAAGAAGGUCUUCGGAUUGUAAAGCACUUUAAGUUGGGAGGAAGGGUUGUAAAUUAAUACUUUGCUGUUUUGACGUUACCGACAGAAUAAGCACCGUUCUAACUCAGUGCCAGCAGCCGCGGUAAUGAA